This 253-nucleotide ribosomal RNA is filed under the name uncultured bacterium. Its description in RNAcentral is "partial 16S ribosomal RNA". It matches the Rfam family "Bacterial small subunit ribosomal RNA", at positions 524 to 776 of the family's 1533-position model. The record is from RNAcentral.
UACGAGGGGGGCAAGCGUUGUUCGGAAUUAUUGGGCGUAAAGGGUGCGUAGGCUGUGCGGUAAGUCACCUGUGAAAACUCUGGGCUCAACCCAGAGGCUGCUAACGAAACUGCCGUGCUAGAGUGUGAGAGAGGCGAGUGGAAUUACGGGUGUAGCGGUGAAAUGCGUAGAUAUCCGUAGGAACAUCCGAGGCGAAAGCGGCUCGCUGGAUCACAACUGACGCUGAGGGACGAAAGCUAGGGGAGCAAACAGG